This 101-nucleotide ribosomal RNA is filed under the name uncultured bacterium. RNAcentral's name for it is "partial 16S ribosomal RNA". It matches the Rfam family "Bacterial small subunit ribosomal RNA", at positions 1384 to 1482 of the family's 1533-position model. The record is from RNAcentral.
UACGCACCGCCCGUCACACCAUGGGAGUUGGCUUUACCUGAAGGCGGUGCGCUAACCCGCAAGGGAGGCAGCCGACCACGGUAGGGUCAGCGACUGGGGUG